RNAcentral lists this transfer RNA (92 nucleotides) under Phytomonospora endophytica. RNAcentral's name for it is "tRNA-Glu". Lineage: Bacteria; Bacillati; Actinomycetota; Actinomycetes; Micromonosporales; Micromonosporaceae. The record is from RNAcentral.
CGCGGCCCGGGACGGUGUCCCGGGCCGCUUCUCGUGUGCCCGGUACGCCGGCCGACGAGAAGCGGCCCGGAGCUCAUGGCUCCGGGCCGCCG